UACGGAGGAUGCGAGCGUUAUCCGGAUUUAUUGGGUUUAAAGGGUGCGUAGGCGGGAUGCCAAGUCAGCGGUAAAAAUGCGGUGCUCAACGCCGUCGAGCCGUUGAAACUGGCGUUCUUGAGUGGGCGAGAAGUAUGCGAAAUGCGUGGUGUAGCGGUGAAAUGCAUAGAUAUCACGCAGAACUCCGAUUGCGAAGGCAGCAUACCGGCGCCCUACUGACGCUGAGGCACGAAAGCGUGGGUAUCGAACAGG
This 252-nucleotide ribosomal RNA is filed under the name uncultured bacterium. RNAcentral describes it as "partial 16S ribosomal RNA". It matches the Rfam family "Bacterial small subunit ribosomal RNA", at positions 524 to 776 of the family's 1533-position model. The record is from RNAcentral.